UACGGAGGGUGCAAGCGUUAAUCGGAAUUACUGGGCGUAAAGCGUGCGUAGGCGGUUCGUUAAGUCUGUUGUGAAAGCCCCGGGCUCAACCUGGGAACUGCAUUUGUGACUGUAGAGCUGGAGUGCGGCAGAGGGGGAUGGAAUUCCGCGUGUAGCAGUGAAAUGCGUAGAUAUGCGGAGGAACACCGAUGGCGAAGGCAAUCCCCUGGGCCUGCACUGACGCUCAUGCACGAAAGCGUGGGGAGCAAACAGG
This 253-nucleotide ribosomal RNA is filed under the name uncultured prokaryote. RNAcentral describes it as "partial 16S ribosomal RNA". It matches the Rfam family "Bacterial small subunit ribosomal RNA", at positions 524 to 776 of the family's 1533-position model. The record is from RNAcentral.